GGGCCCGCACAAGCAGUGGAGUAUGUGGUUUAAUUCGAUGCAACGCGCAGAACCUUACCCGGCCUUGACAUCCUUAGAAUCCCUUAGAAAUAUGGGAGUGCCUUCGCAAGAAGGAGCUAGGUGACAGGUGCUGCAUGGCUGUCGUCAGCUCGUGUCGUGAGAUGUUCGGUUAAGUCCGGCAACGAGCGCAACCCCUAUUAUUAGUUGCCAGCGGUUCGGCCGGGGACUCUAGGAGAACUGCCUACGCAAGUAGAGAGGAAGGUGGGGAUGACGUCAAAUCAGCACGGCCCUUACGUCCAGGGCUACACACGUGCUACAAUGGCCGGUACAGAGGGCAGCUACCGGGUGACCGGAUGCGAAUCUCUAAAGCCGAUCUCAGUUCGGAUUGGAGUCUGCAACUCGACUCUAUG
This 410-nucleotide ribosomal RNA is filed under the name uncultured bacterium. Its description in RNAcentral is "bacterial SSU rRNA". It matches the Rfam family "Bacterial small subunit ribosomal RNA", at positions 917 to 1322 of the family's 1533-position model. The record is from RNAcentral.